RNAcentral lists this long non-coding RNA (576 nucleotides) under Lathyrus oleraceus (garden pea). Its description in RNAcentral is "Pisum sativum (pea) long non-coding RNA (PSAT_LNC039649)". The record is from RNAcentral. Lineage: Eukaryota; Viridiplantae; Streptophyta; Magnoliopsida; Fabales; Fabaceae.
UCAUUCUGAAGAGUAGUAUUUCUGUUUUUCAAUUUUUGUUUGCAUGAAAGCCAUACGUUUUGCCCGAAACGUAAUGGUCAAUUGUAAGGGCCAUCUCAUGUGUUUCAUUAUGCAACAUUUUGCAUCAGUAAUGAAUGGAUGUUUUUGUAGUUAAAAGCGGUGUUCCCUGUUUUUCAUUUAAUUUUGCAAACAAAAAAAAAACAACAAAUAAAAAUGGCAACGUUUUUUAUUCUCUUUCCUUUUGAUUUUGUCUCGUUCCAAAGUGAUUACUCUCCUGAUCUCACCGAUAACGAUUUGGUUACACCUCUAUAUGACUUCGACGAUCCAAGCUAUCAUGCCAAGGAAGAAGGCGCAGAAGAUUGUGAUUUGCUGGAAUUAGCCAGGUCAUUGAAACAAGAGGAGAAGGUGAUUCAACCACACGAGGAGCGAUUCAAGAUUGUUACUCCAAGCUCCGCCGAGGUUAGAAAGCAAAAGCUGAGGCCGACAAAGGAUGAGAAAGAGAGAAGGUGUGAAUAGACUAUCAAGAUGCGAGCAGAGCUAAUCUGAAAGAUGGAUUCCCGGUACAUCACAAUGAGG